Molecule: long non-coding RNA, 1894 nt
Organism: Saccostrea echinata
Lineage: Eukaryota; Metazoa; Mollusca; Bivalvia; Ostreida; Ostreidae
Exons: 4
Source: RefSeq, a predicted model, not a curated record
GAUAGACUGCUGUAAACCCUAGGAUGAUGGGUUAGAUCUAGUGUAGUGCUAGUGUAGAUCCCGAGACAAGCUGGUGACUUUCAUCUGACAGAAAGUGUGCAAAAUGUUUGAGGGAACAAAAGCAGCCAACUCAAGAAUUGAUGGGUUGGGCUGGUUUUCAUUCUCAAAAGAAGAGCAUACAGUAACCUACCAGAAAAAAGUUCAGGGAUUGGCUGUGACCAAUUCAAGACAUGAUAACACAUUCUAUGAAUCAUCUGAGCUGUCUUGAUAUCUGUGGAAGAAAGAAAGUUGCGCAACACAUCAAAAUAAAUUCAAGUUGUGGAUCAUUAGAAAUGAAAGGAGAGACAUUUGUUGUUGAAGGAGAUAUAGAACUCUAUUCUGAACAAGUGUGAAGGAUUAGUGACCUUGUAUUAUGGAUCUGUGACCUUAUGUGAAGGAUCUGUUAUCUACAUGUAGUGUGAAAAUAAGUGACCUUGUAUGAAAGUUCUGUGAACUUGUGUGAAGGACUUUGACCUUUUGUGAAGAUAUCUGUGACCUUAUGAAAAGGUUAUGUUGCCUUGUAUAAAGGAUCUCUAACCUUGUGUGAAGGAUCUGUGACCUUUUGUGAAAGAUCUGUGACCUUAUGUGAAAGAUUUGUUAUCAAGUCUGAAGGAUCUGUGACAUUAUGUGAAGGAUCUGUGACCUUGCAUGAAGGAUCUGUGACCUUAUGUGAAGGAUCUGUGACCUUGUGUAAAGGACCUGUGAUCUUAUGUGAAGGAUUUUUGACCUUGAAGGAUCUGUGACCUUAUGUGAAGGAUCUGUGACCUUUUGAGAAGGAUCUGUGCAUUUUCCACCUUUAUUCUUUCCUUUCUUUUGUUGAUGUUUUGAACCAAAAAACUUAUGUACUAUCAUCACCCCCAGCAGUAAUUUCCUUGUUACACCAGUGUAGUAUUGACCAGUUUAUAAAUCCAUCAAAUGAAUGUAUGUCUUGCAUUCACCCUUAGACUUGCAUUAAUUUUUUGCCUUGGACACGUGUGAAUUUUUAUCCCUGUUCUCCCUGGGAAGUUUUUAAUGUUAGUGAUUAUACUCUAACCUUUGAUGUUUAAUACUGAUUGGGAAGUUUAGGAUGAGUGCAGUAUAACAAUUUUUUGUGUUACGUAGUAUUAGGAAAAAUUAAUUGCCCAAACAACAUGUAAACAAUGUUACGGAAAUGUUUUGUUACUAAGUUUUAGUUAUUUAGGCUACAGCCAAAAAAAAUUCAGAAUAUAUCGCAUGGGCAAACAUUCGAUUAUAGAAGGGGUAUUAUCAAAUGGUCACUUUCUAGUGAACACUAUCCUGAGAAAGUCCAGUUUUUUAUCAAAAUAAAUUUAUGUCUAUAUUGCAAAAUCCAUAAUUCUUGAAAAUAUUGUCUCAUAAAUAAAUAGAGUGAGGUUCCGCCACUCAAAUUUUUGCUUACUCUGCAUUUUGCCGCGGUUCACAGGUUUCCAUCAUUUUUUCAAAUUUUGAAAUAUUUUGUUUUUAAUAUAUGGUUUUUCCUGGGCGGCAGAGGAGGCUUAUUUUAUUUUUGGAUGCAUUUUAAUGUGCAUUUUGUUAUGAAUAUGCAAUGCUGUAUGAAAACUGCUUUGUUUGCAUGUUAUUUUCUUUGAAAAAUAAACCUGGCCUAAACCUGCAUGGUGCUCUGUAAUGCAAUUUAAGGGUUUUUAAUAACCGUUUAUAUAGGCAUCAAGUGUAGUGAAGAGACUGGUCAUCUUAAUUCAUUAUAUGUGUGUUUUAUGUCUAUUUGUUUUGACAUUAAAAUUCAUAUACAAUGUAUGAUGUACUACUUAUAAUAAGUGACAUCUGCUUUCUAAAAUCUUUUCAGAGUUAUAUGCAUAACAGUAGCCAUUAUUUUCAAAUAUUCUUUUCAAAGUACAUG